Molecule: ribosomal RNA, 672 nt
Filed under: Clostridioides difficile
Lineage: Bacteria; Bacillati; Bacillota; Clostridia; Peptostreptococcales; Peptostreptococcaceae
Description: bacterial LSU rRNA
Rfam family: Bacterial large subunit ribosomal RNA
Source: RNAcentral
AAAAGUCUCUAUCGAGGUUAAAGGUACCCGUACCGCAAACCGACACAGGUGGGUGAGGAGAGUAUCCUAAGGCCAGCGAGAGAACUGUUGUUAAGGAACUCGGCAAAAUGACCCCGUAACUUAGGGAUAAGGGGUGCCACCAUCAGGUGGCCGCAGAGAAUAGGCCCAAGCGACUGUUUACCAAAAACAUAGGUUUCUGCUAAGUCGCAAGACGAUGUAUAGGAGCUGACGCCUGCCCGGUGCUGGAAGGUUAAGGGGAGCUGUUAGAGCAAUCGAAGCAGGGAACUUAAGCCCCAGUAAACGGCGGCCGUAACUAUAACGGUCCUAAGGUAGCGAAAUUCCUUGUCGGGUAAGUGCCGACCCGCACGAAAGGCGUAACGAUUUGGGCACUGUGUCAACAACAGACUCGGUGAAAUUGUAAUUCCGGUGAAGAUGCCGGAUACCUGCGACAGGACGGAAAGACCCCAUGGAGCUUUACUGUAGCUUGACAUUGGGUCUUGGUACUACAUGUACAGGAUAGGUGGGAGGCUUUGAAACCAGGACGCCAGUUUUGGCGGAGCCAUCCUUGGGAUACCACCCUUGUAGUACUGGGACUCUAACCAUAGGCCAUGAAUCUGGUCUUGGGACACUGUCAGGUGGGCAGUUUGACUGGGGCGGUCGCCUCCCAAAAGG